GCAAAUUACCCACUCCCGGCACGGGGAGGUAGUGACGAAAAAUAACGAUACGGGACUCAUCCGAGGCCCCGUAAUCGGAAUGAGUAUACUCUAAAUCCUUAUACGAGUAUCAAUUGGAGGGCAAGUCUGGUGCCAGCAGCCGCGGUAAUUCCAGCUCCAAUAGCGUAUAUUAAAGUUGUUGCGGUUAAAAAGCUCGUAGUUGGAUCUGUGUCCCGCACCGUCGGUUCACCGCCUGUCGGUGUUCAACUGGCGUGUAUGCGGGACGUCCUGCCGGUGGCGGUCCGUCUCCCCGUUGGUACAUAGGGGUCGGCCUACGGCCCUGCCGUUAGUGUCCUCCCCGAAGUCCUUCGCGGCGAGUUCGGUCGCCUUUUCAAUCCCGUCGCGGUGCUCUUUACUGAGUGUCGAGGCGGGCCGGCACGUUUACUUUGAACAAAUUAGAGUGCUUUAAGCAGGCCCUGUCCCGCCUGUAUGUUGUGUGCAUGGAAUAAUGGAAUAGGACCUCGGUUCUAUUUUGUUGGUUUUCGGAAUCUGAGGUAAUGAUCAAUGGGGACUGGCGGGGGCAUUCGUAUUGCGACGUUAGAGGUGAAAUUCUUGGAUCGUCGCAAGACGGACCGAAGCGAAAGCAUUUGCCAAGUAUGUUCUCGUCGAUCAAGAACGAAAGUUAGAGGUUCGAAGGCGAUCAGAUACCGCCCUAGUUCUAACCAUAAACUAUGCCUGCCAGCGAUCCGCCGAAGUUCCUUAUAUGACUCGGCGGGCAGCUUCCGGGAAACCAAAGCUUUUGGGUUCCGGGGGAAGUAUGGUUGCAAAGCUGAAACUUAAAGGAAUUGACGGAAGGGCACCACCAGGAGUGGAGCCUGCGGCUUAAUUUGACUCAACACGGGAAAACUCACCAGGCCCGGACACCGGAAGGAUUGACAGAUUGAGAGCUCUUUCUUGAUUCGGUGGGUGGUGGUGCAUGGCCGUUCUUAGUUGGUGGAGCGAUUUGUCUGGUUAAUUCCGAUAACGAACGAGACUCUAGCCUACUAACUAGGCGUACCCGGUAUCCACAAUUGUGCUACCGGCGGUCAAAUUUCUUCUUAGAGGGACAGGCGGCGUCUAGCCGCACGAGACUGAGCAAUAACAGGUCUGUGAUGCCCUUAGAUGUCCUGGGCCGCACGCGCGCUACACUGAAGGAAUCAGCGUGUCAUCCUUGUCCGAAAGGACCGGGUAACCCGCUGAACCUCCUUUGUGCUAGGGAUUGGGGCUUGCAAUUGUUCCCCAUGAACGAGGAAUUCCCAGUAAGCGCGAGUCAUAAGCUCGCGUUGAUUACGUCCCUGCCCUUUGUACACACCGCCC
This 1335-nucleotide ribosomal RNA is filed under the name Saigona ussuriensis. RNAcentral's name for it is "SSU rRNA". It matches the Rfam family "Eukaryotic small subunit ribosomal RNA", at positions 436 to 1674 of the family's 1831-position model. The record is from RNAcentral. Lineage: Eukaryota; Metazoa; Arthropoda; Insecta; Hemiptera; Dictyopharidae.